This 76-nucleotide transfer RNA is filed under the name Magnetococcales bacterium. Its description in RNAcentral is "tRNA-Thr". It matches the Rfam family "tRNA". Rfam says of the family: Transfer RNA (tRNA) molecules are approximately 80 nucleotides in length. Their secondary structure includes four short double-helical elements and three loops (D, anti-codon, and T loops). Further hydrogen bonds mediate the characteristic L-shaped molecular structure. tRNAs have two regions of fundamental functional importance: the anti-codon, which is responsible for specific mRNA codon recognition, and the 3' end, to which the tRNAs corresponding amino acid is attached (by aminoacyl-tRNA synthetases). tRNAs cope with the degeneracy of the genetic code in two manners: having more than one tRNA (with a specific anti-codon) for a particular amino acid; and 'wobble' base-pairing, i.e. permitting non-standard base-pairing at the 3rd anti-codon position. The record is from RNAcentral. Lineage: Bacteria; Pseudomonadati; Pseudomonadota; Magnetococcia; Magnetococcales.
GCCGCCUUAGCUCACUUGGUAGAGCAGCUCACUCGUAAUGAGCAGGUAUCCGGUUCGAAUCCGGAAGGCGGCUCCA